GCGUGCUUAUACAUGCAAGUUGUGCGAGAAAGUUCCUUCGGGAUGCGAGUACAGCGGCGAACGGGUGAGUACACGUAAGCACCUGCCCUAAAUCCGGGAUAGGCUGCCAACGCGGGGCUAAUACCGGAUGUGGUUGAAAGGUCGCAUGAUUUUUCAAUUAAAGGUGACCUCUUCUUGAAAGUUACUGUUUAGGGAUGGGCUUGCGGACCAUUAGCUUGUUGGUGAGGUAACGGCUCACCAAGGCUGCGAUGGUUAGCCGACCUGAGAGGGUGAUCGGCCACAUUGGGACUGAGAUACGGCCCAGACUCCUACGGGAGGCAGCAGUAGGGAAUUUUGCGCAAUGGACGAAAGUCUGACGCAGCAACGCCGCGUGAGGGAUGAAGGCCUUCGGGUUGUAAACCUCUGUUGAGUGAGAAGAAAAGCAUGCGGGAUAAUACUCCGCGUGUCUGACGGUAUCACUCGAGGAAGCCCCGGCUAACUACGUGCCAGCAGCCGCGGUAAUACGUAGGGGGCAAGCGUUGUUCGGAAUUACUGGGUGUAAAGGGAGCGUAGGUGGAAAGGUAAGUUAGGAGUGAAAGAUACGGGCUUAACCCGUAGUCCGCUUUUAAUACUGUCUUUCUUGAGUAUGGGAGAGGAUGACGGAAUUCCUGGUGUAGCGGUGGAAUGCGUAGAUAUCAGGAAGAACACCGGUUGCGAAGGCGGUCAUCUGGCCCAAUACUGACGCUGAGGCUCGAAAGCUGGGGGAGCGAACAGGAUUAGAUACCCUGGUAGUCCCAGCCGUAAACGAUGGACACUAGAUGCUGGAAGAGUCAAUCCUUUCAGUGUCGUAGCUAACGCGUUAAGUGUCCCGCCUGGGGAGUACGCUCGCAAGGGUGAAACUCAAAGGAAUUGACGGGGGCCCGCACAAGCGGUGGAGCAUGUGCUU
RNAcentral lists this ribosomal RNA (925 nucleotides) under uncultured organism. Its description in RNAcentral is "bacterial SSU rRNA". It matches the Rfam family "Bacterial small subunit ribosomal RNA", at positions 42 to 946 of the family's 1533-position model. The record is from RNAcentral.